UCUUUGGUUGUACAAAGUGGUAUG
This 24-nucleotide microRNA is filed under the name Caenorhabditis briggsae. Its description in RNAcentral is "cbr-miR-244". Its record names the gene cbr-miR-244. RNAcentral also lists the same sequence under 3 other names. Lineage: Eukaryota; Metazoa; Nematoda; Chromadorea; Rhabditida; Rhabditidae. The record is from miRBase by way of RNAcentral.